Molecule: small nuclear RNA, 104 nt
Organism: Panthera pardus (leopard)
Lineage: Eukaryota; Metazoa; Chordata; Mammalia; Carnivora; Felidae
Source: Ensembl
GUAUUUGCUUUGGCAACACAUAUAUUAAAAUUGGGACAAUACAGAGAUUUGCAUGGCCCCUGUGCAAGUAUGACAUGCAAAUUUGUGAAGUGUUCCAUAUUAAA